CGCCCCCUUUCGUCACCUCAGCCGCCCCCUCAUCAGUGCUGCAUUGGCGCCGGCUCUGCUGCGAGGUAGCAGGGCCAUAUUGACCGCAGCUUAUUCGUCGUUUGUUUCCCAGAUGGGUGCUGCACUCUGCGUUAGUACAUCCAGAAUCACUACAUAUAGCCUACAAGUAGGUGUAUGGUUAUUUUUGUCAGAUCAUGUCGCAGUUAUAAAUCAGGAUUUUAGCAGGUUAGGUUUGAAAGUGACUGCUGGUUAAUGGGUCACCUUUAGUCACUAUUUAUAUUGUUUCAUGUAUGACAUUAUUGGGGAUUCAGUUGUAUUAAAAUAUAAUAUGUGACAAUUUAGAGCACAGAGUGACAUCAGGGAUAUGCUAACUAUCAUGUGACGCCCUCCGGUGGGCUAUGCCGUGUCCGAAACAGAUCCCUUGGUCAUUCCUUCAUUUAUAGUAUUUGGAAUAUAGUGAAGAAGGUGAGAGAGCAGGGUAUGUCCCAAAUGACAUACUUCACAUGAUGCAAGUAAACUAAUCACUCUACCAUCAUCUCAAAUUAAACACUUAGGGGUUUUUUUUUUAAUUAAAGAAUACAAAACUUUAAUUACAGCAAAGGCAAAACUAGACAUUCACCAGAAAUACAUGAAAGCCACUGAACACAUUGAAACUAAACAGAGCAUCAUACAUUAAGUAAAUGUACAUUAAAUAGUUAAAAUAAAAAUAGAUAAAAUAACCCAAAUAGACAAAUUAAAAUUAGAGAUAAUUUAAAAAAUGGGGCAACACUAUUUCACAAUAAGUCAUAUGUUAUCAGCAAAUCAAACAGUUCUUUUUCAUUUUGACGUUUGAGAUCUUACAUGUUUUGUCCAACAUGACUUCAGUCAUCAUCAGACUAAUGCACAGUCAUCUCUGUAGGUGAUAUUUGCUUGCACAAUACCUGAUAGAGCCGCCUAUACUGAAACACUGAAAUAGGAGAUAGGGAGCAGUUUCAGACACAGCUGUAGUCUCACAAAUUCCUGUGGCAUAUAUAUGUAGGUCUAUUAAGGUCUUAUUGUACAAGAACUUAUGUCAUGUAAAAAAAAAAAAAAAAAUUAAAGUAGCUGCACUUCAUUUAAAUCAUUUUUAAAAUGUCAAUGUUAUGGAUGUAGUUUACAUUGACAUUGUUUUCAAAUUUCCAGUUGAAGUAAAUAGACUUUUCACAAGCUAUGGAGCAGAAGCCAGCAGGAGAUCUUUAAGUCGCCGUAAUCAUUCUGCAAGACCUCGCAGUAGCUUCACAAGAGUGUUCUGCUGCUUAAGUAGCAUGACACAGAGUGUUGCACCAGCAAAGUCUGAAAAGGAGGAACUGGAAGCUGCAGGACUUGGAGAGAAAAAAGUAACAUUUUUGUGAUGAAAGUAAUGCAGAAGAGUUUAAAAACUAUAUUCUAACGACAUAUUCAAAACUUGAAAACUGUGGGGCAUUUGAGAUUUUAAAAACAUCAGGCUUGACCCGAUCAGGGAAGCUGAAAUAUGGGACACGCUGUCAUCUACAUACGUCCUAUACUAAAAGACUUAGAUCUGUCCAGUUCUGUUGUCUGCGAAUCUCCUAUGCUUGGGCCAAUGGAGAGAUGUCUUACCUGUGAAAAACAGUUCAAUUUCAAUGAACUGAAGGGUGAACGAUUUAACCCUGGAGCAAGACUGGAUGUAAUUUUUGUUGAUGAUUCAAAAGCAGCAGAGGGAGCCGUGGACGGUGGUGGUCCAACUAGAGAGUACCUCAGAUUGCUCCUUAAGGCUGUCCAACAGUCUAGCAUAUUUGAGGGCCCUGAAAAUAGUUAAAGGUUGUGGCUUGACACAGAAGAAAGGAUCUUUCUCCAGGUUUGUGGUAAACCCACCUCUCCUCCAACCUUGGAUGAAGUAGAUGAUGAGACCUUUAAAGAGAUGUUUUGCAAAAUAAAAGAAGAUGAUAAAAUUGCGAGUCCAUGAUUGGUGCCUUUAGAUCCAUUAGUACUCUUAAGCACCGGGACAUGCUGGUACAGUCAGCUGUGGAGUAUUAAAGUAUGUUGAUGGGAGAUGCAGGGUUGCACUGCAACAGUUUGUUGAUGGUUUUAACACCCUUGGACUUCUUCAAGAAAUGCAGAUACACACAGAUCUGUUUCAUACCGUGUUUGUUGAAGACAAAAAACCACUGAGAUCAUCAGACCUGACAUCACUUUUUGAAGUAAACCUGUCAGAUCAAGACACCUAUAAGAGAGAACUAGAGACAAGGACUUUGUGCUACUGGAGAGACUGGAUCAUUGAUGUUAAA
Cyprinus carpio carpio is the source of this 2264-nucleotide long non-coding RNA. NCBI's taxonomy places the organism in Eukaryota, Metazoa, Chordata, Actinopteri, Cypriniformes, Cyprinidae. The record is from Ensembl.